GCCGGUGUGAUGGAAUUGGCAGACGUGCAGGACUCAAAUCCAGUGGUAGCGAUACCGUACCGGUUCGACCCCGGUCACCGGCACCA
This 86-nucleotide transfer RNA is filed under the name Clostridia bacterium. Its description in RNAcentral is "tRNA-OTHER". It matches the Rfam family "tRNA". From Rfam's summary of the family: Transfer RNA (tRNA) molecules are approximately 80 nucleotides in length. Their secondary structure includes four short double-helical elements and three loops (D, anti-codon, and T loops). Further hydrogen bonds mediate the characteristic L-shaped molecular structure. tRNAs have two regions of fundamental functional importance: the anti-codon, which is responsible for specific mRNA codon recognition, and the 3' end, to which the tRNAs corresponding amino acid is attached (by aminoacyl-tRNA synthetases). tRNAs cope with the degeneracy of the genetic code in two manners: having more than one tRNA (with a specific anti-codon) for a particular amino acid; and 'wobble' base-pairing, i.e. permitting non-standard base-pairing at the 3rd anti-codon position. The record is from RNAcentral. Lineage: Bacteria; Bacillati; Bacillota; Clostridia.